RNAcentral lists this ribosomal RNA (518 nucleotides) under uncultured bacterium. Its description in RNAcentral is "bacterial SSU rRNA". It matches the Rfam family "Bacterial small subunit ribosomal RNA", at positions 29 to 525 of the family's 1533-position model. The record is from RNAcentral.
AGCGAACGUUUGCGGCGGGCUUAACACAUGCAAGUCGAACGGGCUGUUCCUUCGGGGGCAGUCAGUGGCGCACGGGUGAGUAACACGUAGGUAAUCUACCCUUUGGCGGGGGAUAACGUUCCGAAAGGAGCGCUAAUACCGCAUAAGACCACGGAGUCUCCGGACGCUGUGGGAAAAGGUGGCCUCUUCUUGAAAGCUACCACCGAAGGAUGAGCCUGCGUCCCAUCAGCUAGUUGGUAAGGUAAUGGCUUACCAAGGCGAAGACGGGUAGCUGGUUUGGGAGAAUGAUCAGCCACACUGGCACUGGAACACGGGCCAGACUCCUACGGGAGGCAGCAGUGAGGAAUAUUGGGCAAUGGGCGAAAGCCUGACCCAGCCACGCCGCGUGAGUGAUGAAGGCCCUCGGGUCGUAAAGCUCUGUGGAGAGGGACGAAAACCCUGGUUUCAAAUAGGCUCCAGGCUUGACGGUACCUCUUUAGCAAGCACCGGCUAACUCUGUGCCAGCAGCCGCGGUAAAG